This is a long non-coding RNA of Strigops habroptila (Kakapo), 1696 nucleotides long. The record is from Ensembl. NCBI's taxonomy places the organism in Eukaryota, Metazoa, Chordata, Aves, Psittaciformes, Psittacidae.
CCCAAAACUCCGAAUAUUUUUAUUGAUUUUUUUCUGGGGGAAAAAAAAGAAAAAAAAUCCAUUGCCUAUUUUAGAGAAAUAGCAUUUAUUGAAAUAAUUAUUACUUAUUCUCUGAAAACUACACUUCCUCUACCAAUCUACAACAUGGCACAGGAACAAUAAAAGAUCAGCAGCCAUUAAGGUACUGCAACAAAGCAAAAUUUUUCUGCAGGUCUUAAAUCAGUCUGAAAUGUGUAGUGCAACAAUGAUAUGUCACAUAAUUGGUCCAAGACUUUGAUACCUAUUUCAAAUAAUUCAUUGCUAAUUGAACUUUUACUUUCCCAAAUAAAUCUUCCUUGGAUUAACAGUGUCACCAUUCAGUGGAUGUGCACAUAACUGUAUGCACAUAUACACAUAUGCAAGUGUAUCUGCGGAUGCACACAAACAAAACCAAAUUUCAACAUAUUUUAGUAAACAUCUUUUUUUUUUUCCCCUUGAUUUUUAGGGCCUUUUAACAGAAGUCAUACAGAUACUUUAUCUGUGACAUGCUUUUGAAAUAGAACAAGUGUUUCUGCAGUCCUUAGAUCCAAUAAAAAUACAAAAAACAUUUUCUUCACUGACAUAUUCACUUCAGUGCUCAACACCCUUCCACUGCUCCAUUUAUUCCAUUAGUGUAGGGGCUUAAAUGACGCAUGAGGCUUUCAGCAGUGAGGUGAAUGCCAUUUUUAAGAACCCAGUAAAAAGAAACAAAACAGCAACCAUAACUCAAUACUGAAAAAUAUUUGCAACUAAAAGUACAACUGUAAACAGUACAUUCAAGUCCAGCCUCAGACAGAAAGUAAAGUAAUUUCUCCUGGUGGCAUUUUGCCCUGAUUCAAAUUGGCAUUUAAGAACAUACUUAUUAACACUAAGCACAGCCUUUAGUCAAUACAACUUAAGUUCAGGCUUAUACACUUUCUUGAGCCAGGGCCUCAAUUAUUAGAAAAGGCUCAAUUACAAAUUAAAGGUAGCAAAACUGUCAAUAGCGCACUGGAAAAAUUAAAAUCUACAAACUCGUUUCAGAUUCAGCAACUGGUCAAAUACAGUAAGUGCAAUGUCUCAAAGACUAAAUCUGCUUUGUCAGUGCUACAUUCCAGAAGAAUAAAUAGAAAACACUAUAAAGUAUUUGAGUUUGAUCUCAUUUUCCCUGUACUUCCUAGCGGAGUUGCCAGAUACAUUGAGUCAUUUGUCUAGUUACUUCAAUCAAAUAAAUUAUUUUUUCCAAUUAAGCUGUUCAAUGCAAUCAAGAACAGAAAUAAAUGAUGUGAGAAAUACGGCACCUGUGACUACCAAAUAUAGAAGAGGAGAUAAAUGAGCAUACUGCUUCUGUAUGCAAAGAAAUUCAGUAGCAACAUAAAGCAUCCCCAAAACUAUCCAUUGGAAAAAAUCCAAUCUCAUUGAUGCCGAUUAAAUUGAUUUUUUUCCUGUUAAAUUUUAAGGAAUUAAGAGACUAUUUAAAACAAUUUCUAAUAAACAAGAAAUACUUUAAAAUUGUCUCCUACCCAGAAGUCUGGCCAAUUCCAAUCAAACUUGAGGAACACUAAAGGUGUCAGUAAGUUCUUAAAAGGCUGGUGAAAACCUGUGGGAGACUGGUUAAUCACGCCACAAAAGGGACAGCAACAAAAUAAAGCAGAUGCUGUUAUUAAUGCCUCCCCUGAAGGAAAGGUGCAGUGUGAGC